RNAcentral lists this ribosomal RNA (919 nucleotides) under uncultured archaeon. Its description in RNAcentral is "bacterial SSU rRNA". It matches the Rfam family "Archaeal small subunit ribosomal RNA", at positions 1 to 926 of the family's 1478-position model. The record is from RNAcentral.
UUCCGGUUGAUCCUGCCAGACCUGACUGCUAUCGGAUUGAUACUAAGCCAUGCGAGUCAUUGUAGUAAUACAAGGCAGACGGCUCAGUAACGCGUAGUCAACCUAACCUAUGGACGGGAAUAACCUCGGGAAACUGAGUAUAAUGCCCGAUAGAACAUUAUGCCUGGAAUGGUUUAUGUUUCAAAUAAUUUAUUGCCGUAAGAUGGGACUGCGGCCUAUCAGUUUGUUGGUGAGGUAAUGGCCCACCAAGACUAUUACAGGUACGGGCUCUGAGAGGAGUAGCCCGGAGAUGGGUACUGAGACACGGACCCAGGCCCUAUGGGGCGCAGCAGGCGAGCAAAACUUUGCAAUGUGCGAAAGCACGACAAGGUUAAUCCGAGUGGUUUCUGCUAAAGGAACCUUUUGUCAGUCCUAGAAACACUAACGAAUAAGGGGUGGGCAAGUUCUGGUGUCAGCCGCCGCGGUAAAACCAGCACCUCAAGUGGUCAGGAUGAUUAUUGGGCCUAAAGCAUCCGUAGCCUGCUUUGUCAGUUUUCGGUUAAAUCCAUAUGCUCAACGUAUGGGCUGCCGGGAAUACUGCAAAGCUAGGGAGUGGGAGAGGUAGACGGUACUCGGUAGGAAGGGGUAAAAUCCUUUGAUCUAUUGAUGACCACCUGUGGCGAAGGCGGUCUACCAGAACACGUCCGACGGUGAGGGAUGAAAGCUGGGGGAGCAAACCGGAUUAGAUACCCGGGUAGUCCCAGCUGUAAACUAUGCAAACUCGGUGAUGCAUUGGCUUGAUGCCAAUGCAGUGCCGCAGGGAAGCCGUUAAGUUUGCCGCCUGGGAAGUACGUACGCAAGUAUGAAACUUAAAGGAAUUGGCGGGGGAGCACCACAAGGGGUGAAGCCUGCGGUUCAAUUGGAGUCAACGCCGGGAAUC